CCCGCCGGACCCGACCGCUAUCGGAUUCGAUACUAAGCCAUCGCGAGUCAUCGUAGCAAUACAAGGCAUACGGCUCAGUAACGCGUAGUCAACCUAACCUAUGGACGGGAAUAACCUCGGGAAACUGAGAAUAAUGCCCGAUAGAACAUUAUACCUGGAAUGGUUUAUGUUCCAAAUGAUUUAUCGCCGUAGGAUGGGACUGCGGCCUAUCAGUUUGUUGGUGAGGUAAUGGCCCACCAAGACUAUUACAGGUACGGGCUCUGAGAGGAGUAGCCCGGAGAUGGGUACUGAGACACGGACCCAGGCCCUAUGGGGCGCAGCAGGCGAGAAAACUUUGCAAUGUGCGAAAGCACGACAAGGUUAAUCCGAGUGAUUUCUGCUAAAGAAAUCUUUUGUUAGUCCUAGAAACACUAACGAAUAAGGGGUGGGCAAGUUCUGGUGU
Molecule: ribosomal RNA, 442 nt
Filed under: uncultured archaeon
Lineage: Archaea
Description: bacterial SSU rRNA
Rfam family: Archaeal small subunit ribosomal RNA
Source: RNAcentral